AUGCAGUCUUGCCGACCAACUUCUCACCUGAAUCAGAGAGUUUGGAGGAGCAUUAUGGCGUACAAGAAGUUGAGUGACUUAAGAACAAGGGGGGGAAACUGGAACAUACAAGUGAAAGUAAUGAUUAUGUGGGAAUCGAUCAAUCCUACAACCGAUGAACUAAUCAGCCUAGAUAUGAUUUUGAUGGAUGAAGAGGGCCAAACAAUUCAUGCUUUUACCUGGAAGAACCUAAUAGACACUUUUAGAUCAAAAAUUAAAGAGCAGUCUAUUUACGCUUUCAACAAUUUGAAGGUUGUGGAAUCUAUGAAGUGUCGUCCAACGAGCAAUGAAAAUAAAAUAUUUUUUGCAUACAACACAAAGGUAAAGGAGGUUAAAGGAUCUGCAGAGGUUUUCCCAGAUUUUUACUUCAGUUUCACAACCAAGGAGACACUACAAGAACGGGCAGAAAAAGAUAUACAAUGCGCAGAUGUUGUUGGAUUGCUCACGCAGAUGAAGCCUGUGGAAAAAGACUUAUUUUUUGAUUCAAGCUCAAUGAUAGUAACAUCAGCUUUGGCACACAAAAUUAGUUAA
RNAcentral lists this ribosomal RNA (570 nucleotides) under Triticum aestivum (bread wheat). RNAcentral describes it as "partial small subunit ribosomal RNA". Lineage: Eukaryota; Viridiplantae; Streptophyta; Magnoliopsida; Poales; Poaceae. The record is from RNAcentral.